CUCAAGUUAAUCCGUCAGCGAGGUAUAGAGUUCCUAUGUGUUCGCGUUGAGAUAUUCCAUAGGAACUUCAUACCGUGCUCUUGGAUUGCUUGGA
This is a non-coding RNA of Aedes albopictus (Asian tiger mosquito), 94 nucleotides long. NCBI's taxonomy places the organism in Eukaryota, Metazoa, Arthropoda, Insecta, Diptera, Culicidae. The record is from Rfam.